RNAcentral lists this ribosomal RNA (1675 nucleotides) under Escherichia coli HVH 209 (4-3062651). RNAcentral describes it as "bacterial LSU rRNA". It matches the Rfam family "Bacterial large subunit ribosomal RNA", at positions 1270 to 2925 of the family's 2925-position model. The record is from RNAcentral. Lineage: Bacteria; Pseudomonadati; Pseudomonadota; Gammaproteobacteria; Enterobacterales; Enterobacteriaceae.
AUGCUGGAGGUAUCAGAAGUGCGAAUGCUGACAUAAGUAACGAUAAAGCGGGUGAAAAGCCCGCUCGCCGGAAGACCAAGGGUUCCUGUCCAACGUUAAUCGGGGCAGGGUGAGUCGACCCCUAAGGCGAGGCCGAAAGGCGUAGUCGAUGGGAAACAGGUUAAUAUUCCUGUACUUGGUGUUACUGCGAAGGGGGGACGGAGAAGGCUAUGUUGGCCGGGCGACGGUUGUCCCGGUUUAAGCGUGUAGGCUGGUUUUCCAGGCAAAUCCGGAAAAUCAAGGCUGAGGCGUGAUGACGAGGCACUACGGUGCUGAAGCAACAAAUGCCCUGCUUCCAGGAAAAGCCUCUAAGCAUCAGGUAACAUCAAAUCGUACCCCAAACCGACACAGGUGGUCAGGUAGAGAAUACCAAGGCGCUUGAGAGAACUCGGGUGAAGGAACUAGGCAAAAUGGUGCCGUAACUUCGGGAGAAGGCACGCUGAUAUGUAGGUGAAGUGCCUCGCUGAUGGAGCUGAAAUCAGUCGAAGAUACCAGCUGGCUGCAACUGUUUAUUAAAAACACAGCACUGUGCAAACACGAAAGUGGACGUAUACGGUGUGACGCCUGCCCGGUGCCGGAAGGUUAAUUGAUGGGGUUAGCGCAAGCGAAGCUCUUGAUCGAAGCCCCGGUAAACGGCGGCCGUAACUAUAACGGUCCUAAGGUAGCGAAAUUCCUUGUCGGGUAAGUUCCGACCUGCACGAAUGGCGUAAUGAUGGCCAGGCUGUCUCCACCCGAGACUCAGUGAAAUUGAACUCGCUGUGAAGAUGCAGUGUACCCGCGGCAAGACGGAAAGACCCCGUGAACCUUUACUAUAGCUUGACACUGAACAUUGAGCCUUGAUGUGUAGGAUAGGUGGGAGGCUUAGAAGUGUGGACGCCAGUCUGCAUGGAGCCGACCUUGAAAUACCACCCUUUAAUGUUUGAUGUUCUAACGUUGACCCGUAAUCCGGGUUGCGGACAGUGUCUGGUGGGUAGUUUGACUGGGGCGGUCUCCUCCUAAAGAGUAACGGAGGAGCACGAAGGUUGGCUAAUCCUGGUCGGACAUCAGGAGGUUAGUGCAAUGGCAUAAGCCAGCUUGACUGCGAGCGUGACGGCGCGAGCAGGUGCGAAAGCAGGUCAUAGUGAUCCGGUGGUUCUGAAUGGAAGGGCCAUCGCUCAACGGAUAAAAGGUACUCCGGGGAUAACAGGCUGAUACCGCCCAAGAGUUCAUAUCGACGGCGGUGUUUGGCACCUCGAUGUCGGCUCAUCACAUCCUGGGGCUGAAGUAGGUCCCAAGGGUAUGGCUGUUCGCCAUUUAAAGUGGUACGCGAGCUGGGUUUAGAACGUCGUGAGACAGUUCGGUCCCUAUCUGCCGUGGGCGCUGGAGAACUGAGGGGGGCUGCUCCUAGUACGAGAGGACCGGAGUGGACGCAUCACUGGUGUUCGGGUUGUCAUGCCAAUGGCACUGCCCGGUAGCUAAAUGCGGAAGAGAUAAGUGCUGAAAGCAUCUAAGCACGAAACUUGCCCCGAGAUGAGUUCUCCCUGACUCCUUGAGAGUCCUGAAGGAACGUUGAAGACGACGACGUUGAUAGGCCGGGUGUGUAAGCGCAGCGAUGCGUUGAGCUAACCGGUACUAAUGAACCGUGAGGCUUAACCUU